Long non-coding RNA from Culex quinquefasciatus (southern house mosquito), 795 nucleotides. RefSeq lists it as uncharacterized. The transcript is spliced from 2 exons. NCBI's taxonomy places the organism in Eukaryota, Metazoa, Arthropoda, Insecta, Diptera, Culicidae. The record is from RefSeq and is a predicted model, not a curated record.
UAUUUAUACACUUUUUGGAGGCCAAAUCUCAGGUAUUUUGAUGAAAAUGUUGUCCAAAUAUAUCAUGCGACCUAUCUUUGGAUAGAUAAUUAAUAAGCCUUUCCAACGGGCACAAAUUGAAUUGGAGAUUUGACUACGCUAUCAUAAGUUGUAAGCACAUAAGUGCCCUGAAAUAAUAAUGAGAUGAAUAAUUAGUCAAAUUGAUAGAACACUUAAAGGUCCGCCCUAUUUUGGAUAGCAUUACCUUUUAAAUGUGAGGAAGGCACCAACCACCUAAGGGUGGAUUAAGUAACGUUUUUUAUAAUAAAAUUCCGAUUCUUCACAUCUAAAUUUCGGCAAAAAAAACAGGUUGGCACAUUACAAUUUGUUACAGGGUGUUGAUGGGUUAUUUAGUGAAAUGCAACAAAAACUGUUACUGUUCAACAUUUCAUAAUCACAGCAUCCGGUAUAACGUCAUUUUUCUAUUCCGAAUGGAAUUUAGAUUGAGUCUUCUUUUCUUGUUUUUCCGCUAUUCCAAUAAAAAAAACUGUAAUCUUUUAUUCAGAUGGAAAAUGUAUGGCCUGUACACACAAGAUAAAAUUCAUCGAGGUAUCAGUGGCCAUAAAUCAUAACGUUGACACGUUGCUGGCUGGAGUUUUGUCUCAAAUACGCCUGAAAAAGGUGCAUUGUGCUCUUCAGGGGCAUCGAGAACCAUCACCAUCAGCGCAUUGGUACAAAAAUCGUAAUGUAGUUCGAGCUUCAAUGAAGGCUCGCCAAAUGAUCACUUGGAUAUUUGGAAAAGAGGACUCCAAGUUU